Non-coding RNA from Triticum aestivum (bread wheat), 137 nucleotides. NCBI's taxonomy places the organism in Eukaryota, Viridiplantae, Streptophyta, Magnoliopsida, Poales, Poaceae. The record is from Rfam.
CAAAUACUCCCUCCGUCGGAAAAUACUUGUCAUCAAAAUUGACAAAAAGGGAUGCAUCUAGAACGCUAAAAUACAUCUAGAUACAUCCCCAUUUAGUCAUUUUGAUGACAAGUAUUUCCGGACGGAGGGAGUACUAC